GGGCCCGCACAAGCGGUGGAGCAUGUGGUUCAAUUCGACGCAACGCGAAGAACCUUACCCAGGCUUGAACAGCGAGUGACCACUCACGAAAGUGAGCUUCCGCAAGGACACUCGUAGAGGUGCUGCAUGGCUGUCGUCAGCUCGUGUCGUGAGAUGUUGGGUUAAGUCCCGCAACGAGCGCAACCCUUGUCUGCUGUUGCCAUCACGUUAUGGUGGGCACUCUGCAGAGACUGCCGGUGAUAAACCGGAGGAAGGUGGGGAUGACGUCAAGUCAGCAUGGCCUUUAUGUCUGGGGCUACACACGUGCUACAAUGGCAGAUACAAACCGUCGCGAGACCGUAAGGUGGAGCUAAUCGGAUAAAGUCUGUCUCAGUUCGGAUUGUCGGCUGCAACUCGCCGGCAUGAAGUUGGAAUCGCUAGUAAUCGCGGAUCAGCACGCCGCGGUGAAUACGUUCCCGGGCCUU
This 464-nucleotide ribosomal RNA is filed under the name uncultured bacterium. RNAcentral's name for it is "bacterial SSU rRNA". It matches the Rfam family "Bacterial small subunit ribosomal RNA", at positions 917 to 1382 of the family's 1533-position model. The record is from RNAcentral.